AGAGUUUGAUCCUGGCUCAGGACGAACGCUAGCGGUGCGCCUAAUGCAUGCAAGUCGAACGAUCCUUCCGGGCUUGCUCGGGAGGAUAGUGGCGGACGGCUGAGUAACACGUAAGUGACCUACCCUGAAGAGGGGGAUAAUCUUGAGAAAUCGGGCCUAAUACCCCGUACGUUCCUCAGGCUGCGGUCUGAGGAGGAAAGGGUUCCGUCUUAUGGCGGGGCCGCUUCAGGACGGGCUUGCGACUUAUCAGGUAGUUGGUGGGGUAAUGGCCCACCAAGCCAAAGACGGGUAGCCGGUGUGAGAGCAUGAUCGGCCAGAGGGGGACUGAGACACGGCCCCCACUCCUAUGGGAGGCAGCAGCAGGGAAUCUUGCGCAAUGGGCGAAAGCCUGACGCAGCGACACCGCGUGGGGGAAGAAGGCUUUCGGGUUGUAAGCCCCUUUUCUCGGGGAAGAGAACGGACGGUACCCGAGGAAUAAGGUUCGGCUAACUACGUGCCAGCAGCCGCGGUAAAACGUAGGAACCGAGCGUUGUCCGGAUUUACUGGGCGUAAAGGGCGCGUAGGCGGCUUGUUAAGUCUCAUGUGAAAUCUCCCGGCUCAACUGGGAGCGGUCAUGGGAUACUGGCAGGCUUGAGGGCAGUAGAGGAAA
RNAcentral lists this ribosomal RNA (649 nucleotides) under uncultured bacterium. Its description in RNAcentral is "bacterial SSU rRNA". It matches the Rfam family "Bacterial small subunit ribosomal RNA", at positions 8 to 660 of the family's 1533-position model. The record is from RNAcentral.